GACGUAGGGCGCGAGCGUUGUCCGGAUUUAUUGGGCGUAAAGAGCUCGUAGGCGGCUUGUCGCGUCGACCGUGAAAACUCACAGCUCAACUGUGAGCUUGCGGUCGAUACGGGCAGGCUCGAGUUCGGUAGGGGAGACUGGAAUUCCUGGUGUAGCGGUGGAAUGCGCAGAUAUCAGGAGGAACACCGAUGGCGAAGGCAGGUCUCUGGGCCAUUACUGACACUGAGAAGCGAAAGCAUGGGGAGCGAACAGG
RNAcentral lists this ribosomal RNA (253 nucleotides) under uncultured bacterium. RNAcentral describes it as "partial 16S ribosomal RNA". It matches the Rfam family "Bacterial small subunit ribosomal RNA", at positions 524 to 776 of the family's 1533-position model. The record is from RNAcentral.